RNAcentral lists this ribosomal RNA (587 nucleotides) under uncultured bacterium. Its description in RNAcentral is "bacterial SSU rRNA". It matches the Rfam family "Bacterial small subunit ribosomal RNA", at positions 338 to 916 of the family's 1533-position model. The record is from RNAcentral.
CCUACGGGAGGCAGCAGUGGGGAAUCUUGGACAAUGGGCGCAAGCCUGAUCCAGCAAUGCCGCGUGGGUGAAGACGGCCUGCGGGUUGUAAAGCCCUUUUCGCCGGGAAGAAGGCCCUGGGUUGAACAGGCUCAGGGGGUGACGUUACCGGCGGAAGAAGCACCGGCCAACUCCGUGCCAGCAGCCGCGGUAAUACGGAGGGUGCGAGCGUUAAUCGGAAUUACUGGGCGUAAAGCGCGCGUAGGUGGUCAGUUAAGUCCGUUGUGAAAGCCCUGGGCUCAACCUGGGAACGGCAAGGGAGACUGACUGGCUAGAGUGUAACAGAGGACCGUGGAAUUCCCGGUGUAGCGGUGAAAUGCGUAGAGAUCGGGAAGAACACCGAUGGCGAAGGCAGCGGUCUGGGUUAACACUGACGCUGAGGUGCGAAAGCGUGGGUAGCAAACAGGAUUAGAUACCCUGGUAGUCCACGCGGUAAACGAUGAGAACUAGACGUCAGGCGGGUAUGACUGUUUGGUGUCGGAGCUAACGCGUUAAGUUCUCCGCCUGGGGAGUACGGCCGCAAGGUUGAAACUCAAAGGAAUUGACGG